CAUAUCCUGCAGAAAAUUCAUUCUUCUAACUGAACAGUUCAAAUGAGCAUUGGAUUAAAUGGUGCUCAUCUUGUGCAGUCUUCGCCAAAAUUCGGGAUUCCUAUAGUCAUUGUCUGCUUGCCAAAGAGAGAUUGUCCACUCCAUGGGACUGUCAAAGAAAAUGGAGGUUCUGUAAUAUAAAGACUCGGUUCCUUGGAAGGCUAUGAAGUGAGUCAACGUUUGCAUUCUGAAGAGACAAUAAAAUACAGAAUCCUG
This is a long non-coding RNA of Alosa sapidissima (American shad), 255 nucleotides long. RefSeq lists it as uncharacterized. The record is from RefSeq and is a predicted model, not a curated record. The transcript is spliced from 3 exons. Lineage: Eukaryota; Metazoa; Chordata; Actinopteri; Clupeiformes; Clupeidae.